RNAcentral lists this ribosomal RNA (253 nucleotides) under uncultured bacterium. Its description in RNAcentral is "partial 16S ribosomal RNA". It matches the Rfam family "Bacterial small subunit ribosomal RNA", at positions 524 to 776 of the family's 1533-position model. The record is from RNAcentral.
UACGAAGGGGGCUAGCGUUGUUCGGAAUUACUGGGCGUAAAGCGCACGUAGGCGGAUAUUUAAGUCCGGGGUGAAAUCCCAGAGCUCAACUCUGGAACUGCCUUUGAUACUGGGUAUCUUGAGUAUGGAAGAGGUAAGUGGAAUUGCGAGUGUAGAGGUGAAAUUCGUAGAUAUUCGCAGGAACACCAGUGGCGAAGGCGGCAUACUGGACCAGAACUGACGCUGAGGUGCGAAAGCGUGGGGAGCAAACAGG